GCUGGGUGUAGUGGUGCACACCUGUAGUCCCAGCUACUUGGGAGGCUGAGGCAGGAGAAUCACUUGAACCUGGGAGGCGGAGGUUGCAGUGAGCUGAGAUGGUACCACUGCACUCCAGCCUGGGUGACAGAGUGAGACUCUGUCUCAA
This is a non-coding RNA of Pan troglodytes (chimpanzee), 148 nucleotides long. It matches the Rfam family "Metazoan signal recognition particle RNA". From Rfam's summary of the family: The signal recognition particle (SRP) is a universally conserved ribonucleoprotein. It is involved in the co-translational targeting of proteins to membranes. NCBI's taxonomy places the organism in Eukaryota, Metazoa, Chordata, Mammalia, Primates, Hominidae. The record is from Rfam.